This is a long non-coding RNA of Perca fluviatilis (European perch), 2059 nucleotides long. RefSeq lists it as uncharacterized. NCBI's taxonomy places the organism in Eukaryota, Metazoa, Chordata, Actinopteri, Perciformes, Percidae. The transcript has 7 exons. The record is from RefSeq and is a predicted model, not a curated record.
GCUGGAGAGAUCUGAGGUUGUCCCGGUUGCAGGUGGGAAUUUUCUUGACUCAAAGUUGUCCUGAGGGCAGAAACGUUUGUGAUUGGUUCAAUCUGACAACCAAUCGCAAGAGAGGAGAGAAUUGCAGAGGCGGGGCCACCAUUUUGAAAAUUCCCACAAAUAUUCCCACCGGUGCGCAGCCAAAGCCAAGAGCAACUGGUUAUCAUUUUAACGGUGCGCAGCCAAGAGGAACUGCAAGAGGAACUGCAACUGAACUGGAAAUGGUUAUCAUUUCAAAGUAAGUUUGUAAAAACAAAAAUUUAAUUUUCUUGAAAAUGGAGCAUUGUAUGUACAGCUAUGUGUGAUUUUCUUUCUGCCCUCGAAAUCAUAGUAUAAUGGUGCAGCUUGUAGCUUAAGGGUAGGCUAGCCUACUGUUUCAGAAGCAAGCUAGUGUUAUAGCUUGCAUUAAAAUGUUGCAGUGGCUGUUGCCAGCGGUUCUUCUACAAAAAUGUAGAAGAACAAGAUAAUUCAGAAAAACGUCACCUUUUCAGUAUUAAUGAGCUAGCUAAAAAUAGUAUGUGUGCCCAUACAUGUAAACCAUAAGCGCUAGCUAAGCUAGCUAGUCAAGCUAAUCAGGUGAGCUAGAAAGCUUGUUUAAGUACAUUGCAAUAAGCUUUACUGUACUCAUAUUCAAAAAAUCCAUGACUAUUUAGGGCGUUGUAGUCUGAUUUAUAAAUUUGGCUUUUCUUCUUGACUGUUUAGUCUCAUCUGUUCCCAGGGCAGAGACCAUUAUUUUCCACAAUUUUGUCCCAGGGCAGGUGAAUCCCUCCUGGUCUCAGGGCAGAAGUCGUAGUUUUCUCUUCUCAGGGCAACGUAGUUGGACAAAAGGGAGUCAACUGUCUUCUCUGGUCUCAGGGCAGAAGUUGUCUGAGGGCAGAUGAAUCCCUCCUGGUCUCAGGGCAGAAAGAUAUUUCUAGAUUUUGGCUUUUCUGCAUGACUUUUUAGUCUCAUCUGGUCUCAGGGCAGAAAGAUAUUUCUAGAUUUUGGCUUUUCUUCAUGACUUAAACAGUCAUCUGGUCCCAGGGCAGAGACCAUCGAUUCCCACAAUUUUGUCCCAGGGCAGGUGAAUCCCUCCUGGUCUCAGGGCAGAAGUCGUAUUUUUCUGUUCUCAGGGCAACAAAGGGUCAGCUGUUUUCUCUGGUCUCAGGGCAGAAGUUGUCUGAGGGCAGGUGAAUCCCUCCUGGUCUCAGGGCAGAAAGAUAUUUCUAGAUUUUUCCUCAGGCCUCUCAGGUCUGCCCUGAUCCCAGGCUACCCUGCCCUGGCUUAGAAUUAGUUUGAGGCCAGUGUCUUUUCCUCCAUUUAAGUUUCGCCUCACGUAUGUAAGUAUCAUAGUCAUAGGUUGUCAUAAGUAUCCAAUUUAAUGCUUCAGGAGAAAUACAUGUUUUUAAUUUUUGUCUUUUGUCUUUGCCUGUAAAGGGAAACUUAACCAAGCCAAAUGAACAAGCCAGCCUGGGACAGAGGCAAUUAAUAGUCAGGCUAUGCGCCUGAUUUUGGAGGGCAGCUCCAGGGCCAUGAGUACUUAUUUCUUAAAAAAAAACAUUCUUAAAGGAGCCAGUGCCGUCUUCAGGCCCUACUUGCUGGGAGAGUGCCACUGGACCCUCUUUCAUUGCAACUUGAAAGAGGGAACUAUUACCUACAUUGACUCCUUGGGGGAGCAACCACAGCGUUGCUUCCAAAUAAUUGAAAAUUGGAGCUUAUUUGCUGCUAGGAGAGGCUGCCAAGGGCCCUAAAAGAUUAUGACGAGGGACCAUGACUUACAAAACGACUCUGUGUCAUGUGGAGUGUUCUCAAUAAUGUUUGCAGAAAUGGUCCUCCAGGGACAACAAGGGCACCUCCAAUGCCUCCCCAUCGCUCAAGAGCGGGAGAGACUUGGGACUUUGUUGUUUAACUCCCUUGGUAAGUAGUAGACAUUUGUACGGUAUAGGUGCUCCUUAUUGAGCUCUGCUGGCUAACUGUAGCUGCCUGCAUUUGAUGCUUCCUUUCCUUCCUUUCUCUCUAUCACUCUCUUUCCCUCUCUCUC